AAGGCCAAUGUUUUGGCCCUACUGGUGAAAAUAUGUAGACCUAACAUCUAUCUCCCUGCUCCAGUUUCAAGAGAAAAGACCUUAUUCAGAGAAAUAUUUAGAAGACUCUUGUGGAAUUCUUGCUGUGAGUGGUUUUUCCUUCCCUGCCAUUGGUGCGACUGUUUCCCCCUUCCGUCAAAUUGCUGUCUAGAUGUUUCUCUCUGACCCCAAUUUUCUCGGAGUUUGGGAUUAUCAAUCUAAAAUCAGAGGCAGGGAGGAACUUGGAUUGUCCUUCAGUAAAAUUCCACUUUGAUGCGCAAAGCGAACUUGAAUUUCUGCUUGGCCUACCACAGGCCUGCAACAUGCACUUUCUCCUCGAGGGAACUGCCACUCACUGACACGGACAACAGUAAAGGAACUUGGUCUUCACUAUGCCUCAUAGUGGUGGGUCACACUGCCCAGGAGGAACCCGCAAUGAGACCGGCAAAUGCCUUAACCAUCUCAUUGUCUCAUCAGGAAGAAGCUUAAAUGACUCUUCUUGCUCACAUACUUCCUGGGCAAACAUGUCUGCUCUGUUGGGAUAAAGGACGCUCUAGACCAGGCUCUGCUGAAAGAUCCAGGGCAAAGGUUCCUGACAAGACUAUGUCCAGCCUCAAAUAAGGCCACAGAAGAGCCCAGGCUCGCUGACGAGCACCGGCUCCGAGGCAGUCACAUCAGGAGACAGAAACAGACAUGUUGGUGCUGCCCUCUCAGGUCAGUGCAAAUGCCACUUGAGGAGGGCUGAGAGCUUUGCAGCAUAAAAUGACCAGAACAAGGAGAAACACAGAUGCAAUGGCAAUAGCUGGCAAUUCGCACAUGGCGUCAAACACCACUGCCACAGAAGCUUUUUAGCUACAAGCCACGCUAUGCAACCUUUAAGCAAAACAUUAUUGAUUUUGUGGUUGUAAAAACAUACCUUCAACUGCAGAACUCAGUUUUAUGACACCUUGAAUAAAAACAAAAAGUGGCAGUUAUAUAAUGGACCCAAAUCGCCUUUUCCAGGCUUCUCAUAACACACGCAUGCUUCAGAUUUGGAUUUUUCUUUUUCUGCUGGCAUUGCAAGAACGUAACUAAACAAAUAUCAACUUCAAAAAUAAAAUAAUUUUUAGUCUUAA
RNAcentral lists this long non-coding RNA (1133 nucleotides) under Homo sapiens (human). Its description in RNAcentral is "DLGAP1 antisense RNA 6". Lineage: Eukaryota; Metazoa; Chordata; Mammalia; Primates; Hominidae. The record is from RNAcentral.